UCUACGGGAGGCAGCAGUGAGGAAUAUUGGUCAAUGGACGAGAGUCUGAACCAGCCAAGUAGCGUGAAGGCUGACUGCCCUAUGGGUUGUAAACUUCUUUUAUAUGGGAAUAAAACGUUCCACGUGUGGGAUUUUGUAUGUACCAUAUGAAUAAGGAUCGGCUCACUCCGUGCCAGCCGCCGCGGUAAUACGGAGGAUCCGAGCGUUAUCCGGAUUUGUUGGGUUUAAAGGGAGCGUAGGUGGAUUGUUAAGUCAGUUGUGAAAGUUUGCGGCUCAACCGGAAAAUUGCAGUUGAAACUGGCAGUCUUGAGUACAGUAGAGGUGGGCGGAAUGCGUGGGGUAGCGGUGAAAUGCUUAGAUAUCACGAAGAACUCCGAUUGCGAAGGCAGUUCACUGGACUGCAACUGACACUGAGGCUCGAAAGUGUGGGUAUCAAACAGGAUUAGAUACCCCAGUAGUC
This 460-nucleotide ribosomal RNA is filed under the name uncultured bacterium. Its description in RNAcentral is "partial 16S ribosomal RNA". It matches the Rfam family "Bacterial small subunit ribosomal RNA", at positions 338 to 795 of the family's 1533-position model. The record is from RNAcentral.